Molecule: unclassified non-coding RNA, 290 nt
Filed under: fungal sp.
Lineage: Eukaryota; Fungi
Description: partial internal transcribed spacer region
Rfam family: Eukaryotic small subunit ribosomal RNA (bases 1-46)
Source: RNAcentral
AAGUCGUAACAAGGUUUCCGUAGGUGAACCUGCGGAAGGAUCAUUAACACGUUAUCCAACGUAUCCACCCAUUGUGAACUUGUUUUCAACAUCUCCCUCGUCUUGUGUGUUUGUCUCUUCGGAGCAAAUGCAACAGAUGGAGGCUAACUUUAUAACCUUCAAACUAAACCUAUUUCACCACUCAUUUUGCUGUUGACUUUUUUUAAUUGCGGGCGUCAAACCCUGCACGUUUAAAACUAUUAAUUGAACGUAAAAAUGUACAACUCUUAGCAAUGGAUAUCUAGGUUCUC